RNAcentral lists this small RNA (419 nucleotides) under Arabidopsis thaliana (thale cress). Its description in RNAcentral is "ATSL169880". The record is from RNAcentral. Lineage: Eukaryota; Viridiplantae; Streptophyta; Magnoliopsida; Brassicales; Brassicaceae.
AUUUUCAGUAAUGCUAAUGUAGAUUUUGUAGCAGAGCUACAUUAUGUUUGACCUUGAAACUCACUAACAUGUGUGACAGAGAUGACACUUAAAGAACAUUUUUUUUUUUUUCCGUCAAGGUUUUUCGUCAAGACUUAGAGAAACUUAUCUACAGUGAAAUAUUAGUAAUGAUGACUAAAGAAAUGGGAAAAAUGUCGUUUAAUACAUGAACUUUCAAAAAUGGUCAUUUAAUACGUGAACUUUGUAUGUGGCCAUUUAAUACAUUUAAAAACCGUUGACUGGCCAGUUUAUACGGAGUUAAUCGUUGACUAGGCCAAAAUCCACACGACGUUAUCUGGCGUUAGCAGACACGAUAACGGCUGCUAACUAGUCUCCGUUAGUUCUUAAUACAACGUCAUUUUACCAUAUCGAAACAUGGA